AAAAAUUCUAUGAAAAGUAAUGGAUUUAAUUUGAACUUAUAAAAUCUUCAGUUAUAUCACAAGAUUUACAUUCUUCAUGAUAUGCUUCAUCUUCUCAAAACGAGCUCUUGCCUCGAAUACUCAAUAUAAGAGAAGAGGAGAAAAAAAGGAAAUAAAAUUUUUCUAUAAUUUAGGAUAUGAAAUUCUUGUAUUUCUUAUAAUUCUCUCAAAGAGAAACGACGGAAAUAUUCAGUCCAAGGACAGAACGGACUCUAUAGAGUUUCUAUUCCUUGGUUGUAGUCUUGGACCUCCUAGAUAGCUUAGAGGAUUGCCGAAAGUCCGACAAUCAUCCGACAGAUAGAUAGGGCUCAUGUUCAGGACCAAAGGUUUUCUGGUAUCUACAAAAUCAACAAAGAAGACAAAAAAAAAGAGGGAGAGAAUAAUUACUAUUGUCUUGCUGCCAUGAAGGAGAACGAAAGAGAGAGAGAGAGAGAGAGAGAGAGAGAAAGAGAGAGAGAGAGAGAGAGAGAGAGAGAGAGAGAGAGAGAAGCAUGUAUAAAAAAGGAUAUAUGAAUUUGCAUUAAAGUUCUCUAAGGUCUCUCAAAUUAAUCUCAUUGAAAAAGUUCAGAAAGGUAUAAAAUUUCUCAAUUCGUGUAUAUGUAGACAUUUUUUUACAACGUUGUCUUUAUGAUUACAUGGCUGCUCUGAACGAUCCUUCAAGAGUUCUGUUUUGUUCAUUGAAAAAUUAUUGCUGUUGAAAAUAUAGCGAUUAAUAGCCAACGAUUUUUUUUCCUUUAUUUUUCUUUUUUUUUUCACGGCAACAACUUCGAAUUAAUCCCUCAUGCUCUUAACUCACCUGAAAUUCCCUUGUACCUUGCGAUUUUUUAUUUCUUUUUCUUUUUUUUUUUUAAGCCGAACGACACUCUUCGCGGCAGUUCAUUUUUCAAUCAUUGUCAUUCUUACAUCAGAGAUUUCUCGCUUGAGAAAAAUUGUUUACAACAAUUUUGCGAUUACGGCGUUUUUUUACCUUGUGAAAAAUGUUUACAUAUAUAGAGAAAGAAAGAGAAAGAGAGAGAGAACGACUAUGAUAAAAAGAGAUAGUAGUUUAAACUUUUUGAUAUAAGUAGUUCAGAAAAUGAAAAUUAGGAGACCUUAGAAUCUGAGUGUACUUCGUACAUAUAAAGUGAUGGAUGAAGAAAAAGAAGAAAAUGACGAUGAUGAUGAUGAUGAUGAUGAUGAUGAUGAUGAUGAUGAUGAUGAUCACACUGACCUGUCGACGUCGGCGAACGUUCAGGGGCUUUCGAACGUUGUCCAGUGUUAUUGUCCAUGCUAGCCUAUACACAUAUAAUGAAUAUUCCCUUUAAACAUAUCUUUUCCUUUGCAAACUAAUAUUUCCAUAAUAGGAACAACGUGGAUGCGAUUAAUCAAUCCUUGCCACGAUGCUAGAUACAAGAAACGACGAAAUUUCGUUUGCCUUCAUGAUUAGUUCUUGGUUAGUUAAAAUUUAAUGAAAAAUGA
Vespa mandarinia (Asian giant hornet) is the source of this 1497-nucleotide long non-coding RNA. The record is from RefSeq and is a predicted model, not a curated record. NCBI's taxonomy places the organism in Eukaryota, Metazoa, Arthropoda, Insecta, Hymenoptera, Vespidae.